This 497-nucleotide ribosomal RNA is filed under the name uncultured bacterium. RNAcentral describes it as "partial 16S ribosomal RNA". It matches the Rfam family "Bacterial small subunit ribosomal RNA", at positions 28 to 507 of the family's 1533-position model. The record is from RNAcentral.
GAUGAACGCUGGCGGCGUGCCUAAUACAUGCAAGUCGAGCGAACAGAUGAGGAGCUUGCUCCUCUGACGUUAGCGGCGGGCGGGUGAGUAACACGUGGAUAAUCUACCUAUCAGACUGGGAUAACCUCGGGAAACCGGCGCUAAUCCCGGAUAAUCUCCUGAACCGUAUGGUUCAAUAGUGAAAGACGGUUUUGCUGUCACUUCUAGAUGGAUCCGCGCUGCAUUAGCUAGUUGGUAAGGUAAAGGCUUAUCAAGGCAAGGAUGCGUAGCCGACCGAGGAGGCGGAUAGUCCACAUUGGAGGGGGGACAGCGACCAUGGUCCUAAGGAAGGCAGCAGUAUGUAAUCGUCCGCAGCAGGCGAAAGCCUGACGGAGCGACCGCACGUGUGUGAUGGUGACCUUCGGUGCGUGAAGCUCUCUUAUUAGGUAUGAACCGAUUUGGAAUUAACUAUGCACGUCUUGACGGUACUUAAUCAGAAAGCGACGGCUAACUACGUG